CCCAGACUCCUACGGGAGGCAGCAGUGGGGAAUAUUGCACAAUGGGGGGAACCCUGAUGCAGCGACGCCGCGUGGGUGAAGGAGCACCUCGGUGCGUAAAGCCCUCUCGGCAGGGAAGAAAAGCGAACAGGUUCGCCUUGACGGUACCUGACUAAGAAGCCCCGGCUAACUACGUGCCAGCAGCCGCGGUAAUUCGUAGGGGGCAAGCGUUAUCCGGAUUCACUGGGUGUAAAGGGAGCGUAGACGGCGACGCAAGUCUGGAGUGAAAGCCCGGGGGCCAACCCCGGGACUGCUUUUGAAACUGCGUUGCUAGAGUGCGGGAGAGGCAAGUGGAAUUCCUAGUGAAGCGGUGAAAUGCGUAGAUAUUAGGAGGAACACCAGUGGCGAAGGCG
This 392-nucleotide ribosomal RNA is filed under the name uncultured bacterium. RNAcentral describes it as "bacterial SSU rRNA". It matches the Rfam family "Bacterial small subunit ribosomal RNA", at positions 330 to 723 of the family's 1533-position model. The record is from RNAcentral.